RNAcentral lists this transfer RNA (72 nucleotides) under Capra hircus (goat). It matches the Rfam family "tRNA". From Rfam's summary of the family: Transfer RNA (tRNA) molecules are approximately 80 nucleotides in length. Their secondary structure includes four short double-helical elements and three loops (D, anti-codon, and T loops). Lineage: Eukaryota; Metazoa; Chordata; Mammalia; Artiodactyla; Bovidae. The record is from Rfam by way of RNAcentral. RNAcentral also lists the same sequence under 2 other names.
UCCCUCAUAGCUCAGUCGGUAAAGAAUCUGCCUGCAAUGCAGGAGACCCAGGUUUGAUUCCUGGGUUGGGAA